GGAAAAGGAAGAGAAGGAAAAAUGGCGGAAAGAAAAAGAAUAUAAAUGGUGAGAGAAAGAAAAUUCUAGAGAGAGAAGGAAAGUUCUAGAGAGAGAGGGAGGUCACCGCCGCUCCGGCCACGAGGGGUCCGGUUCCGGCCGAGCCUUCUUCAUGAAAUCUUCACAGAACUUAGAGGAGAACAUUCUUAACUUUUAGAUCAUCCGAAACCAUCAAGAAACGAGGAAAAAUCUAAAGAGGAUUACGCUCAAAACCUGUGAAGGAAGUUGUAAUCGAUUCAGAUCGGAAAUGGGAGUUUCGGCGUUCGUCAAAGAGGAGAAAGGAGGAGGAGGAUGCGCUUCGCCGGAGAAGAAGGGCCACGUGUCAAGCGUCCAUUGGAGACGAAAAAUCAAAGAAAUACUUCGCGUCGGGCGGGAUUCGAAGGCCGGCGGCCCGCUACUCGAGUUCGCGACCCGAUGACUCGCGCGCAACCCGGACCACCGACCCGGCUUCUCGUUGCCACGCGUCAGCGUAAAAGAACUCGAAUUUCCAGCGCGCCCUUCCGGUUUCGAACCGACGACCUCGACCUCGGCUGACCGUUCAGCUGGCGCCACGUGGCAACACCUCAGCGCGCGUCUCCCCUCCCUCAUGCGCGUCCGUACGCGCGCGUGGCCGUGCGCGUGUAGCACCUUCCCAGGCGCGUGUGAGCGCGUGAGGGUUUAAAUGAGAAAAUUCAGUAUUUGUGGACACUCUAUUGGUGAAGAAAUGCUUAACGAAGAACACGCGUCAAUCGUGUGCCGGUCGAGGUGGAGGAGCGUUCGAGAGCUGUGCGGUCACAGAGGGGGUCGUUCCGGAGCGUCAGUCCCCUGUCAGUCUUUCGAGUCUUUUGUGUUUCAGUUUACAUUUGUAAUUUCCUUUGUAAUAAUUUCAAAACAAAUCUUCUCUCUCUUGUUUUAAUCAAAUGGAGUUUUUAUCUUUUUA
Non-coding RNA from Cucurbita pepo subsp. pepo (vegetable marrow), 958 nucleotides. The record is from RefSeq and is a predicted model, not a curated record. NCBI's taxonomy places the organism in Eukaryota, Viridiplantae, Streptophyta, Magnoliopsida, Cucurbitales, Cucurbitaceae.